This 2899-nucleotide ribosomal RNA is filed under the name Escherichia coli. RNAcentral's name for it is "23S ribosomal RNA". It matches the Rfam family "Bacterial large subunit ribosomal RNA". Lineage: Bacteria; Pseudomonadati; Pseudomonadota; Gammaproteobacteria; Enterobacterales; Enterobacteriaceae. The record is from RNAcentral.
UUAAGCGACUAAGCGUACACGGUGGAUGCCCUGGCAGUCAGAGGCGAUGAAGGACGUGCUAAUCUGCGAUAAGCGUCGGUAAGGUGAUAUGAACCGUUAUAACCGGCGAUUUCCGAAUGGGGAAACCCAGUGUGUUUCGACACACUAUCAUUAACUGAAUCCAUAGGUUAAUGAGGCGAACCGGGGGAACUGAAACAUCUAAGUACCCCGAGGAAAAGAAAUCAACCGAGAUUCCCCCAGUAGCGGCGAGCGAACGGGGAGCAGCCCAGAGCCUGAAUCAGUGUGUGUGUUAGUGGAAGCGUCUGGAAAGGCGCGCGAUACAGGGUGACAGCCCCGUACACAAAAAUGCACAUGCUGUGAGCUCGAUGAGUAGGGCGGGACACGUGGUAUCCUGUCUGAAUAUGGGGGGACCAUCCUCCAAGGCUAAAUACUCCUGACUGACCGAUAGUGAACCAGUACCGUGAGGGAAAGGCGAAAAGAACCCCGGCGAGGGGAGUGAAAAAGAACCUGAAACCGUGUACGUACAAGCAGUGGGAGCCUCUUAAUGGGGUGACUGCGUACCUUUUGUAUAAUGGGUCAGCGACUUAUAUUCUGUAGCAAGGUUAACCGAAUAGGGGAGCCGAAGGGAAACCGAGUCUUAACUGGGCGUUAAGUUGCAGGGUAUAGACCCGAAACCCGGUGAUCUAGCCAUGGGCAGGUUGAAGGUUGGGUAACACUAACUGGAGGACCGAACCGACUAAUGUUGAAAAAUUAGCGGAUGACUUGUGGCUGGGGGUGAAAGGCCAAUCAAACCGGGAGAUAGCUGGUUCUCCCCGAAAGCUAUUUAGGUAGCGCCUCGUGAAUUCAUCUCCGGGGGUAGAGCACUGUUUCGGCAAGGGGGUCAUCCCGACUUACCAACCCGAUGCAAACUGCGAAUACCGGAGAAUGUUAUCACGGGAGACACACGGCGGGUGCUAACGUCCGUCGUGAAGAGGGAAACAACCCAGACCGCCAGCUAAGGUCCCAAAGUCAUGGUUAAGUGGGAAACGAUGUGGGAAGGCCCAGACAGCCAGGAUGUUGGCUUAGAAGCAGCCAUCAUUUAAAGAAAGCGUAAUAGCUCACUGGUCGAGUCGGCCUGCGCGGAAGAUGUAACGGGGCUAAACCAUGCACCGAAGCUGCGGCAGCGACACUAUGUUGUUGGGUAGGGGAGCGUUCUGUAAGCCUGUGAAGGUGUACUGUGAGGUAUGCUGGAGGUAUCAGAAGUGCGAAUGCUGACAUAAGUAACGAUAAAGCGGGUGAAAAGCCCGCUCGCCGGAAGACCAAGGGUUCCUGUCCAACGUUAAUCGGGGCAGGGUGAGUCGACCCCUAAGGCGAGGCCGAAAGGCGUAGUCGAUGGGAAACAGGUUAAUAUUCCUGUACUUGGUGUUACUGCGAAGGGGGGACGGAGAAGGCUAUGUUGGCCGGGCGACGGUUGUCCCGGUUUAAGCGUGUAGGCUGGUUUUCCAGGCAAAUCCGGAAAAUCAAGGCUGAGGCGUGAUGACGAGGCACUACGGUGCUGAAGCAACAAAUGCCCUGCUUCCAGGAAAAGCCUCUAAGCAUCAGGUAACAUCAAAUCGUACCCCAAACCGACACAGGUGGUCAGGUAGAGAAUACCAAGGCGCUUGAGAGAACUCGGGUGAAGGAACUAGGCAAAAUGGUGCCGUAACUUCGGGAGAAGGCACGCUGAUAUGUAGGUGAAGUCCCUCGCGGAUGGAGCUGAAAUCAGUCGAAGAUACCAGCUGGCUGCAACUGUUUAUUAAAAACACAGCACUGUGCAAACACGAAAGUGGACGUAUACGGUGUGACGCCUGCCCGGUGCCGGAAGGUUAAUUGAUGGGGUUAGCGGUAACGCGAAGCUCUUGAUCGAAGCCCCGGUAAACGGCGGCCGUAACUAUAACGGUCCUAAGGUAGCGAAAUUCCUUGUCGGGUAAGUUCCGACCUGCACGAAUGGCGUAAUGAUGGCCAGGCUGUCUCCACCCGAGACUCAGUGAAAUUGAACUCGCUGUGAAGAUGCAGUGUACCCGCGGCAAGACGGAAAGACCCCGUGAACCUUUACUAUAGCUUGACACUGAACAUUGAGCCUUGAUGUGUAGGAUAGGUGGGAGGCUUUGAAGUGUGGACGCCAGUCUGCAUGGAGCCGGCCUUGAAAUACCACCCUUUAAUGUUUGAUGUUCUAACGUUGGCCCCUGAUCGGGGUUGCGGACAGUGUCUGGUGGGUAGUUUGACUGGGGCGGUCUCCUCCUAAAGAGUAACGGAGGAGCACGAAGGUUGGCUAAUCCUGGUCGGACAUCAGGAGGUUAGUGCAAUGGCAUAAGCCAGCUUGACUGCGAGCGUGACGGCGCGAGCAGGUGCGAAAGCAGGUCAUAGUGAUCCGGUGGUUCUGAAUGGAAGGGCCAUCGCUCAACGGAUAAAAGGUACUCCGGGGAUAACAGGCUGAUACCGCCCAAGAGUUCAUAUCGACGGCGGUGUUUGGCACCUCGAUGUCGGCUCAUCACAUCCUGGGGCUGAAGUAGGUCCCAAGGGUAUGGCUGUUCGCCAUUUAAAGUGGUACGCGAGCUGGGUUUAGAACGUCGUGAGACAGUUCGGUCCCUAUCUGCCGUGGGCGCUGGAGAACUGAGGGGGGCUGCUCCUAGUACGAGAGGACCGGAGUGGACGCAUCACUGGUGUUCGGGUUGUCAUGCCAAUGGCACUGCCCGGUAGCUAAAUGCGGAAGAGAUAAGUGCUGAAAGCAUCUAAGCACGAAACUUGCCCCGAGAUGAGUUCUCCCUGACUCCUUGAGAGUCCUGAAGGAACGUUGAAGACGACGACGUUGAUAGGCCGGGUGUGUAAGCGCAGCGAUGCGUUGAGCUAACCGGUACUAAUGAACCGUGAGGCUUAACCU